CUCAAGGAUUAACGCAAUUGAGAUUGGUUAUAAUCGGUGCAAAUUUAGAUAUAUAUCUUUCACCAAUUUCCACUUUAUUGUGCACCAAAUGCUUAAUAUAUGCCCAAGUUAGAAAAGUUUUAGAAUAUGCCAUCAAUUGUAGCUUGGAGGUCAGCAUAUUAAAUUUGAAGGAAAUCGGCUCAGAUAUAGCUAUAGCUACCAUUUAUUUUAUUUUAUUUGAUAUUUAUGUCCCCAAAAGGCAUAAUUUGCACUCUACAACAUUUAUCGAUAUAGCCUAGAAAUACCUGUUUGUGUGAGAAACGUUACAGCAGCUUUUACUGAACAUACCCCACAUAAGCACUGUUGCUUUUUAUUCUUCUUGGUUGUUACUCUCUUUCUCUUAUUAUGGCAAUUGUAUUGCAAAACUGUGUUCACUAUUAUAAAUAUAAUAUAUAUUAUAAAUAGAGCAAGAACAAACACAAUUACCCAAGGGAGAGAAAGAGAUUUGAUAACGCUAAUUGCUCAGAAAAAAAUAACCAGUAUUCUAAUAAGAAGAAACAUCAGAGCAAGGAAGAAGCGCUGUUUGCUUAGUAAAAGAACGUCCCAGCAGUCCGCUCGCCAUUACAAUUUAAUACCCAUCCGAAUGUAUGCUAUUUUGUCAAUUGGAAAAAAUGAAAUAAAAGUGGUUUAUAGCAUACAACUAGCAUCUGAUUUGGAUGAGUCGCAUUGCUAUUACAUUGUGGAACAAAAUCCACAUUAGAAUUAAAGAACAAAACAAAAAAUAAAAUGUGUCCAUCGCACUUGCAUCUGAAUCGGAUGCCUUUGUAUUGUUUUGUAAGUUUUUUUUGUGUGUUGUUGCAGCCGGUGUUGUACCGUUAUUCAUUUAUGAUGCUUUUUUCUUUUUAAAAGCAAAAUUUUAUUCUGUGAAGUGUUUUUGAAAGUGCAAGUUGUGAAUAUUGAACAAAAGUUAUUAAAAUAAAUUAAUAAAAUAAGAAUAUAGUAAGUGUUGUUUGUUAAAUAAGUUAAAUAAAAUGUCAGGACUCAGUAGGAGUAAUUUAAGACGGUUAAAGAAAGUAGAAUUAGACAAUUUUAAAAUAAAUGCACAGUUGAGGACGGACUGUUUGGAAAACAAUGAUAUUCUACAAAAUGAGCAGAUUCCAUGCAUUCCAAAAUUGUGGAAGAUUUUGGAAAAUAUGUUAGUAUCAUAAAAGUUAUAAUUUCACCAGAUGGCCUUAUUAAAAUAAGGCCAGAUGGUACCCGAAAUAAAAAGGCGUUUAAGGAAUUUAAACUUUUAAAUAUGGCCAUUUUCGAAGCUGUCCGAUGUGAAGGAUUCUAUGAACAAGAUUACGCCAAAAAAUUAGAAAUUGUUUCAAAUUCCAUAAGGCCAGACACUUCCGAACAAUGUCCUACAAUAAAAAAACUGGAAAAUGUAAUUUUUUCUUUUUCUUUAGUUUAAACUUUAUUUCUUCCCACGUCUUUUGAAAAACAUUUAUGAAUUUAUGAAUUUCUUUUUUAUGCAUUAUUUCUAAUUACAAUAAGAAUAUUUUAUUGUUGAAACACUGUUCUAUAAUACGAAUAUUUUAAUAAAAAAACAGCUGAAAUUUAAGUUCCACAAUUUAAAAUGUGGAUGGAAUCGGACCCAUCCAACCUUCGCUUACAAUGUUUAUAGAUUUCGGACCCAUCCAACAUUCGCUUACAUUGUCGGUCGAUAUCGGACCCAUCCAACAUUCGCUUACAUUGUCUUUAGAUUUCGGACUCGUCUGACGGCCUAGGCCAUCGCUGUGUAAAUAUAAGUAGAAAUUGUAUACAGGCUUUGGAUGGGUCGCACCUACAUUGUCAUUGGUCUCAGAUGGAAGAUGUAUGUGCUAAAAAAUCCGCUGGGGUACUUGUUAAUUUGUCAUUCUAUUUUCGACGCCGAGGAGAAAUGUUCAUUGGAACAUUAAUAAAUACAUUUUUAUAGUUAGGAGGAAAAAGUCCAUCUUUUCGAAUCUAAUAUACAUGAGGAAGAGAAUAAGUAAGAAAAUAAUAUUAUUCUUGUUAUAACAACGCUGAUCGUUGGAUUAUUACUCGCGGAGAAUGGACGGCUAAUUAAUGGGCAAUAUAUAAAGGUGGUGUAAAAUAUUGCCCAUGGGUCAUCGCUAUUAAUGAUUGAUGGUAAGCAGUGUUAUUUAUAUGUUGAUGAACAUUGCUAGUGGAGCAAAUAUUACUAACAAUUGGGAAAAGAUCAAUUGCCUGUUCAUUAGACAAAUGCAGUGUUCAUUGGUGCAUCACGGGUAAGAAGUUUGUGUUGUUUUGUCGCCAAAUCGGAAUAAUAUUAACAAUUAAGAAAUAAUUCCACUACAUUCAAAUAGUUUCAUUGUUCCAAGGGAAUUAAUUGAUGGCAGUUGGGUUGAGCAGGAAUUUUGUAUCCCUGGUGAUUAGUCGUAGUAAAGUUUGGGGAAUGGUCCCAGCUGUACUCUUGUCAAAUUUGUAGGAUAUCGGUUUAGAUAUGGAUAUAACUUCCAUAUUAAUCUUCGUUCGAUUUCAAUUUUACUGUGCGCCAUAUGUGCCAUGGUAUAAUUAAGAAAGUAAAGUCAAUUCAAAGAAGCAAUCCCAUCUCUGCAUUUUGAAUUUUGUUUUUCAAAUUUCACAGGUUCCCAUCUCUGAUAUGUGUAUUUACAAUUGAUUUGUAAAUAUAUAUUUUGGCAAUAAGAUGUUGUCAAAUGAAUAAUUGCAUGACCGACAUAGUCGAUUUUCGCACCUGAACUAGCAUGGAUGCAAAUAUUAGGAUUUGCAAAGUUGGAGCAAACUCGGAUUAUCCUUUCUCUGUCUGUGCAGUAAAAAAUAUUUUUUUUUACCUUUUGUGGGAAGGCACUAAAAGGAGUGGUCCGAACUCGAUCUAAGUUUGAUAACAAUAUUACAGUUUACCAAGUUCGGGCGAAAUCGUAUACUCCCUUCGAGAGUUUUCGAGCACAACAGCCAAACAGACAGACGGACGGACGGACAUCGCUAGAUCGACUUCAAAUGUUCUGAAACGGUUUUGGUCCAAAGAGACCUUGGGUCUAAAACCGUUAUUUCGAUGAGGCGUGAUUUGGCCGUAUCAAAUGAUAUAUAUCCUCUCUAUGGCUGAGGGUUUAAUUAGAAGAUAUACGAGAUCUUGAGAUCAUUUAAAAGUAGAAUUGAAGGUAUUUUAUAAAAAGUUGAUUCAAAACCUCUUUUAUAGGAAGAUGCCCUUAAGGCUUCUUUAAGAUUGCUUGCAGGACUUCUCUUAAUCUUCUACAAGAUUAUUUGCUAAUUUUUUUCUGUGAAUA
Musca domestica (house fly) is the source of this 3269-nucleotide long non-coding RNA. RefSeq lists it as uncharacterized. The transcript is spliced from 3 exons. The record is from RefSeq and is a predicted model, not a curated record. Lineage: Eukaryota; Metazoa; Arthropoda; Insecta; Diptera; Muscidae.